RNAcentral lists this ribosomal RNA (253 nucleotides) under uncultured bacterium. Its description in RNAcentral is "partial 16S ribosomal RNA". It matches the Rfam family "Bacterial small subunit ribosomal RNA", at positions 524 to 776 of the family's 1533-position model. The record is from RNAcentral.
UACGUAGGGUGCGAGCGUUAAUCGGAAUUACUGGGCGUAAAGCGUGCGCAGGCGGUUCGUUAAGUCAGAUGUGAAAGCCCCGAGCUCAACUUGGGAACUGCAUUUGAAACUGGCGGGCUGGAGUGUGGCAGAGGGGGGUGGAAUUCCACGUGUAGCAGUGAAAUGCGUAGAUAUCAGGAGGAACACCUGUGGUGUAGACAGCUUACUGGACCAUUUCUGACGCUGAGACACGAAAGCGUGGGUAGCAAACAGG